UUUAUACAUCUGUCUUUUAUCGGCGACAAUGGCAGAGCGGAUGACCCGUUCCAAAUCAACAAAGACAUCACCUAGGCCCUGCCCACACAAAUGGAGUAUUUAGGUGACCCUGAUUCAGACCACAUUUUACAUCAGUUCUGGGGUAACCUUUGCUGUUGACCAGACCUUCCAGAACUUCCUCCUCCUUUCCAAAAGGGCUCCAGUCUCCCCAUGGAUGCCUCUUCCUCUGCACAUCGUAGAUGUCGUCACUCAUCUGUGUGAUGUUCAUUUAACGCAGAGUGAUACAGAUAUUAUCGCCUCCGCGAAUAACUUCCCGGAGACGCUGAUCGGCGCUGACGAGCUUGAGCGGUUAAUGCGUGUAACUUUUGAAGACGGAGGCGCCCGCGCAGAUCUGUCAGCGGUGAAUCCGAGAGAGAGUCUUCAAGACAGCGGCGCUGAGGCUCCGAACACGCCGUGUAUUAUAAUAAUCGACAGCGAGGACGAGUUUACCGCACCUCGUCCGGGACCGAGUACAGGAAAUCGACCGAAGGGGAGUAACCAACGCUCUCUGAGCUGUAAGCGAUGGUAUAAUUCGGCACGGAAGACAGGACCGGCGCGAGUCAAUGAUCACCCGGAACCCGGAAAUCAGACACGACCGGGAAGUCAUCCGGACCCUGUGGAUGCUGAUCAUUCAUUGGACGGGU
Synchiropus splendidus (mandarinfish) is the source of this 683-nucleotide long non-coding RNA. RefSeq lists it as uncharacterized. Lineage: Eukaryota; Metazoa; Chordata; Actinopteri; Syngnathiformes; Callionymidae. The transcript is spliced from 4 exons. The record is from RefSeq and is a predicted model, not a curated record.